This 253-nucleotide ribosomal RNA is filed under the name uncultured bacterium. RNAcentral describes it as "partial 16S ribosomal RNA". It matches the Rfam family "Bacterial small subunit ribosomal RNA", at positions 524 to 776 of the family's 1533-position model. The record is from RNAcentral.
UACAGAGGUCCCAAGCGUUGUUCGGAUUCAUUGGGCGUAAAGGGUGCGUAGGCGGUCGCCUAAGUCAGGUGUGAAAUCUCGGGGCUCAACCCCGAAACUGCACUUGAUACUGGGUGACUUGAGUACUGGAGGGGAGACUGGAAUUUACGGUGUAGCAGUGAAAUGCGUAGAUAUCGUAAGGAAGACCAGUGGCGAAGGCGAGUCUCUGGACAGUUACUGACGCUGAGGCACGAAGGCUAGGGGAGCAAACGGG